CCUACGGGAGGCAGCAGUGGGGAAUAUUGCGCAAUGGGCGAAAGCCUGACGCAGCGACGCCGCGUGAGGGAUGAAGGUCUUCGGAUCGUAAACCUCUGUCAGCAGGGAAGAACGGUCACUGUGCUAAUCAGCAGUGCAUUGACGGUACCUGCAAAGGAAGCACCGGCUAACUCCGUGCCAGCAGCCGCGGUAAUACGGAGGGUGCGAGCGUUAAUCGGAAUUACUGGGCGUAAAGCGCUCGUAGGCGGUAUGUCAAGUCAAGGGUGAAAUCCCCGCGCUCAACGUGGGAACUGCCUUUGAAACUGGCAAACUGGAGUGUAGGAGAGGAUAGUGGAAUUCCAGGUGUAGGAGUGAAAUCCGUAGAGAUCUGGAGGAACAUCAGUGGCGAAGGCGACUAUCUGGCACAUAACUGACGCUGAGGAGCGAAAGCGUGGGUAGCAAACAGGAUUAGAUACCCUUGUAGUC
Molecule: ribosomal RNA, 465 nt
Filed under: uncultured bacterium
Lineage: Bacteria
Description: partial 16S ribosomal RNA
Rfam family: Bacterial small subunit ribosomal RNA
Source: RNAcentral